UGUAUAUCGUCUCCACAGGGACUAGCGCGAUAUUCAAGUCAUUCAACAAUCAAUAUUGUUCUAAGUGUAUGGAUUUAAAAUGUGUGUUUGUGUAAACUAUAUAAACUAUUUGACAUAAAAUAAAUAGAGAAGAGAUAUGACCAUAUCGCUUGGGGUUAGAGAUAUCAACCAAGCGUAACAGCUGCAAUCUCUCGAUCAAUUAACAGAUUCUAGCUUUUUAAACGAUAUUAUCACAAUCACUCGGCAAUAUCAUUCGUGUCCA
RNAcentral lists this long non-coding RNA (262 nucleotides) under Medicago truncatula (barrel medic). RNAcentral describes it as "long non-coding RNA (MTRU_LNC000104)". The record is from RNAcentral. Lineage: Eukaryota; Viridiplantae; Streptophyta; Magnoliopsida; Fabales; Fabaceae.